This 492-nucleotide ribosomal RNA is filed under the name uncultured bacterium. Its description in RNAcentral is "partial 16S ribosomal RNA". It matches the Rfam family "Bacterial small subunit ribosomal RNA", at positions 29 to 507 of the family's 1533-position model. The record is from RNAcentral.
AGUGAACGCUGGCGGUAGGCCUAACACAUGCAAGUCGAACGGCAGCACAGUAAGAGCUUGCUCUUACGGGUGGCGAGUGGCGGACGGGUGAGGAAUACAUCGGAAUCUACUUUUUCGUGGGGGAUAACGUAGGGAAACUUACGCUAAUACCGCAUACGACCUACGGGUGAAAGCAGGGGAUCUUCGGACCUUGCGCGUUUGAAUGAGCCGAUGUCGGAUUAGCUAGUUGGCGGGGUAAAGGCCCACCAAGGCGACGAUCCGUAGCUGGUCUGAGAGGAUGAUCAGCCACACUGGAACUGAGACACGGUCCAGACUCCUACGGGAGGCAGCAGUGGGGAAUAUUCGACAAUGGGCGCAAGCCUGAUCCAGCCAUACCGCGUGAGUGAAGAAGGCCUUCGGGUUGUAAAGCCCUUUUGUUGGGAAAGAAAAGCAGCAGGUUAAUACCCCGCUGUUCUGACGGUACCCAAAGAAUAAGCACCGGCUAACUUCGUG